This 50-nucleotide transfer RNA is filed under the name Longidorus vineacola. RNAcentral's name for it is "tRNA-Tyr". Lineage: Eukaryota; Metazoa; Nematoda; Enoplea; Dorylaimida; Longidoridae. The record is from RNAcentral.
GACUAAUUUUCCCUAUCUGUAAAAUAGGGUAAAGGUUAUCCUAUUAGUCA